GAUGAACGCUGGCGGCGUGCCUAAUACAUGCAAGUCGAGCGAACAGACGAGGAGCUUGCUCCUCUGACGUUAGCGGCGGACGGGUGAGUAACACGUGGAUAACCUACCUAUAAGACUGGGAUAACUUCGGGAAACCGGAGCUAAUACCGGAUAAUAUAUUGAACCGCAUGGUUCAAUAGUGAAAGACGGUUUUGCUGUCACUUAUAGAUGGAUCCGCGCCGCAUUAGCUAGUUGGUAAGGUAACGGCUUACCAAGGCAACGAUGCGUAGCCGACCUGAGAGGGUGAUCGGCCACACUGGAACUGAGACACGGUCCAGACUCCUACGGGAGGCAGCAGUAGGGAAUCUUCCGCAAUGGGCGAGAGCCUGACGGAGCAACGCCGCGUGAGUGAUGAAGGUCUUCGGAUCGUAAAACUCUGUUAUUAGGGAAGAACAAAUGUGUAAGUAACUAUGCACGUCUUGACGGUACCUAAGCAGAAAGCCACGGCUAACUACGU
RNAcentral lists this ribosomal RNA (496 nucleotides) under uncultured bacterium. Its description in RNAcentral is "partial 16S ribosomal RNA". It matches the Rfam family "Bacterial small subunit ribosomal RNA", at positions 28 to 506 of the family's 1533-position model. The record is from RNAcentral.